This 62-nucleotide transfer RNA is filed under the name Stenostomum sthenum. RNAcentral describes it as "tRNA-Ser". Lineage: Eukaryota; Metazoa; Platyhelminthes; Stenostomidae. The record is from RNAcentral.
AAGCUAUAAGUUACAUAGAUUAUACUUUGAAAGUAUAAGAAGAGAUAAGAUCUCAUAACUUU